This 253-nucleotide ribosomal RNA is filed under the name uncultured bacterium. RNAcentral's name for it is "partial 16S ribosomal RNA". It matches the Rfam family "Bacterial small subunit ribosomal RNA", at positions 524 to 776 of the family's 1533-position model. The record is from RNAcentral.
UACGUAGGGUGCAAGCGUUGUUCGGAAUUACUGGGCGUAAAGGGCUCGUAGGUGGCCAACUAAGUCAGACGUGAAAUCCCUCAGCUUAACUGGGGAACUGCGUCUGAUACUGGAUGGCUUGAGUUCGGGAGAGGGAUGCGGAAUUCCAGGUGUAGCGGUGAAAUGCGUAGAUAUCUGGAGGAACACCGGUGGCGAAGGCGGCAUCCUGGACCGACACUGACACUGAGGAGCGAAAGCCAGGGGAGCAAACGGG